GAGUCAAGCUACUAAGGGCACAUGGGGGAUGCCUUGGCGCCAGAAGCCGAAGAAGGGCGUAGUAAGACUGCGAUAAGCCACGAUUAGCUGCCUAACAAGCUUAGCCGUGGAUGCCCGAAUGGGGGAACCCAUCUACUUCGGUAGUUGCCUUAGUCGUGAGACUUUGGCGGUAAGCGGGGGAACUGAAACAUCUAAGUACCCCGAGGAAAGGAAAUCAACCGAGACUCCCCUAGUAGCGGCGAGCGAACGGGGACUAGCCCAAACCACAAGAGCCUAACGGACUGGAGUCUUAUGCCUUUGUGGUGUUGUAGGGCCGGGCCCGAGAAAUCUCCAGAUUUCUCAAAGAGUUAUAAAACGUACAUUUAGUCGAACAGUCCUGGAACGGCUGGCCGCAGUGGGUGAAAGCCCCGUAGACGAAAAGUGUGCGACUCUUAGCCCGGUUCCUGAGUACGACGGGACACGUGAAAUCUUGUCGGAAUCUGGGGGGACCACCCUCCAAGGCUGAGUACUUCUGGCGACCGAUAGUGAACAAGUACCGUGAGGGAAAGGUGAAAAGCACCCCGUGAGGGGAGUGAAACAGAACUGAAACCAUGUGCCUACAAACCGUAGGAGUCCUGAAUUUAUUCGGGAUGACUGCGUGCCUAUUGAAGAAUGAGCCAAUGAGUUACGUUGCGUGGCAGGUUAAGGCGUGAUGCGCCGGAGCCGUAGCGAAAGCGAGUCUGAAUAGGGCGUUCAGUCGCGUGGCGUAGACCCGAAACCGUGUGAGCUACCCUUGGCCAGGUUGAAGCGAAAGUAAUAUUUCGUGGAGGACCGAACCCUUGUAAGUUACAAAUUGCUGGGAUGAGCUGAGGGUAGGGGUAAAAUGCCAAUCGAACACGGAGAUAGCUGGUUCUCCCCGAAAUGCAUUUAGGUGCAGCGUCAAGUUUUACUUUGCGGAGGUAGAUCACUGGAUGGGCCAGGGGGCGUGAGCUUACCAACCCCAACCAAAAUCCGAAUACCGUAAAGGGUAUCUUGGCAGUGAGACAGUGAAGGAUAAGCUCCAUUGUCGAAAGGGAAACAGCCCAGAUCGCAAUCUAAGGUCCCGAAGUGUGUGCUAAGUGUGAAACGAAGUGGGAACGCCCAGACAGCCAGGAGGUUGGCUUAGAAGCAGCCAUCCUUUAAAGAGUUCGUAAUAGAUCACUGGUCAAGGGUUUCUGCACGGAAAAUAAACGGGGCUUAAGCACACCACCGAAGCUGCGGAUUCAUCACGAUUUAUCGAGAUGAGUGGUAGGGGAGCGUUCUUAGUGCAUCGAAGUUAGGUCGUAAGGCCUGGUGGAGCGCUGAGAAGUGAGUAUGUUGGCAUAAGUAGCGACAAUGUCGGUGAGAAUCCGACACGCCGAAAGUCU
Molecule: ribosomal RNA, 1385 nt
Filed under: Chloroflexota bacterium
Lineage: Bacteria; Bacillati; Chloroflexota
Description: bacterial LSU rRNA
Rfam family: Bacterial large subunit ribosomal RNA
Source: RNAcentral